GGGGGGGGGGGGCGGGGGGCGGGAGGGGGGGGGGGCGGGCGGGGGGGCGCGGGGGUGGGGGGGUGCGCGAGUGGCGAACGGGUGAGUAACACGUGAGUAACCUGCCCGUGGCUUUGGGAUGACUUCAGGAAACUGGGGCUAAUACCGGGUAGGUGCGCCUGCUGCAGGGGGGGGGUUGGAAAGUUUCGGCGGUUGGGGAUGGACUCGCGGCUUAUCAGCUUGUUGGUGGGGUAGUGGCUUACCAAGGCUGUGACGGGUAGCCGGCCUGAGAGGGUGACCGGCCACAUUGGGACUGAGAUACGGCCCAGACUCCUACGGGAGGCAGCAGUGGGGAAUAUUGCACAAUGGGCGGAAGCCUGAUGCAGCAACGCCGCGUGCGGGAUGACGGCCUUCGGGUUGUAAACCGCUUUCGCCUGUGACGAAGCGUGAGUGACGGUAAUGGGUAAAGAAGCACCGGCUAACUACGUG
This 468-nucleotide ribosomal RNA is filed under the name uncultured bacterium. RNAcentral describes it as "partial 16S ribosomal RNA". The stretch from base 56 to 468 matches the Rfam family "Bacterial small subunit ribosomal RNA", at positions 37 to 507 of the family's 1533-position model. The record is from RNAcentral.